AGAGUUUGAUCCUGGCUCAGAUUGAACGCUGGCGGCAUGCCUAACACAUGUAAGUCGAACGGUAACGCGAGGAGCUUGCUCCUUGGCGACGAGUGGCGGACGGGUGAGUAACGCGUGGGAAUCUACCUCGUAGCGGGGGAUAACGUACCGAAAGGUUCGCUAAUACCGCAUACGCUCUUUUGAGGAAAGUCGGGGAUCUUCGGACCUGACACUAUGAGAUGAGCCCGCGUUGGAUUAGCUAGUUGGUGGGGUAAAGGCCUACCAAGGCGACGAUCCAUAGCUGGUCUGAGAGGAUGAUCAGCCACAUCGGGACUGAGACACGGCCCGAACUCCUACGGGAGGCAGCAGUGGGGAAUAUUGGACAAUGGGGGCAACCCUGAUCCAGCAAUGCCGCGUGUGUGAAGAAGGCCUGCGGGUUGUAAAGCACUUUUCUGAAGGAAGAAAAAUUGUUGGUUAAUACCCAGCGAUCCUGACGGUAUUUCAGGAAUAAGCACCGGCUAACUCCGUGCCAGCAGCCGCGGUAAUACGGAGGGUGCAAGCGUUAAUCGGAAUUACUGGGCGUAAAGGGUACGUAGGCGGUUUACUAAGUCGGAUGUGAAAGCCCCGGGCUUAACCUGGGAAUUGC
Molecule: ribosomal RNA, 625 nt
Filed under: uncultured Gammaproteobacteria bacterium
Lineage: Bacteria; Pseudomonadati; Pseudomonadota; Gammaproteobacteria
Description: bacterial SSU rRNA
Rfam family: Bacterial small subunit ribosomal RNA
Source: RNAcentral